Molecule: long non-coding RNA, 2401 nt
Organism: Mustela erminea (ermine)
Lineage: Eukaryota; Metazoa; Chordata; Mammalia; Carnivora; Mustelidae
Exons: 3
Source: RefSeq, a predicted model, not a curated record
AAGUAAAAUCUUAAAAAAAAAAAAAAAAGUGAUGAUAUGAUAAAGUAUCUGCUCCUUUAAAAAGGCAUUAAGAGCAAGGUCUAGUACUACAUGUUGGAGAGGCAGUCCACAUGGGUCCUGAUUGUCCCUGUACACUUUUGCUGAGUGUGCCAGACUGCACGGCUUCUCCAUUGCUUGAAACUGAGCAGCAUCAGUAGCUAAACACUUAGGCAACCAGACUAGCUUAUAUGCUGCUUGCCUACAUUUGUUGCUUGCUCAAAAAUACACCAGCCCUGAGCCCUAAAUUCCUGUCUUCUAACAAAAUCUGCUACCUGUGUCCUUGUGAUCUGCCCCACCCCUCACCCACCAUCCCUGUGGAAAUAGAAAUCAGGGAAACUGCACAAAUACAUUGAUACUCUGGCUACCCCUUUUUGCUGUGAAUAAUAAAGUCUGUCAUCUCGGACUCGGGAGUUCUGUGUCUUCUCUCAUGAUCAUUGAAACUGGCAAGCUGACUUGUUAGCUUGCAGGUUGGGUAAAAUCUCAGAGCCUUCACAGCUCUGACCUUGCAUUAAUUUUAAAAUAGUGGUGAGCAUAAAUGAUAUUUUGAGAUAGAUAUGAUAGAUCUAAUAUAGAUUGAAAAUACCUGUAAUUUUUAUUGGUGACCAGUGGUCAUAAUUUUUAGGGGUGACAUGGCUACAGUCACUGUGGUUUUGCUUAUAUUCCUAGUUGAAGGAAAUGUUCAAUUUCAGUUAUAAGUUUAGGAAAACAAAUAUCAGGUUUUUUUCUCAUUUGAAUUCACAGAUCUUGUCCUCUCUCAACUCCCCAAAAGAACACCCGUGAAACCUGUUAAUCAAGCAACAUAAUUCUAUUAGAUAUUUACUGCAGCAAGGGAGAAUAACACCUUGAUAGAGAUUGGUAGUGUCUCAGAAAGGAGAUUUCAGGAAAGGACAUAUAUAGGAUUUGGGGGUCUGGGUGCAAGUGGUUUAAAGUGGUUUUCCAAAGCAAAAAAUUGAUGGGGAUUGGGCAGUCUGGGAAAAGUAAGACAGUUUAGGACUCAUAGACUCAGAGAAGCAAGGGUCCUGAAACAAGUCUUGAUAAAUAAACUUUGUCAUAAUGGUUAGUUCUUUGCCUCUGUGUGUGGUCAGUGGUCUUGAUAGGAAAGCAGUCAUCUGUCAUGUCCAGAUGAGCAAACUAUUUGCCCAGAUAAAUUAAUUUCUUGAGCUAGCAAUUAAUCUAUUUAUCUUCCUAGGCAAGAAUUUUCUGGAACAGUUGUGUCAUGUUGAUAUGGGUGGUGUCAGUUCUUACUCAACAAGACCAGCUUCUUAGCCUGAAAUCCCCUUUCUCAAAAAAAUGGAGGCCUGCCUACUUUUGCCUACUUUUGCCAUCUAUCCUUUCCAUACUUCUUCAAAAUCCAAGAUGUAUUAGGGCACAUCUCACUGCAAGCACUCAGUGCCACAUGUGGCUUAGUGGCUAAUGUAUUGGGCCAGCAAGGCAGGUUUAGAGAAUGAAGAGAGAAGUGGGUGACUGGGGUCCUGUUGCCACUUGCUGUCCUAACACUGGCUGCUGAAACAAGUCUCUGCCAACCUCAGGCAAGCACAUCACAUGAAAAAGCUAUUGGGCAUCAUGAUUUCUGGAUGAAGAAACUCCCAGCCAUCCGGGUUGAACACAAACUUGAUUCAUCAUGAGGAUACGCGAUGGUCACCUCUGCUACAGUCCGGAAGGUAAUCUUGCUGAUCCUACUGCCAGGCAGAGUGCAACUACUUCCAGAAACGCUGUGUGGUUUCUAAUAAGGUGACAUAUACACUCACUGUAUGACCCAGCAAUCCCAUUUACCCAAGAGGUACUUAUCUAAGAGAAAUAAACAUUUGUCCACACAAGGACUUGUAGGUGAAUGUUUUAGCAGCUUUAUCAUAAUAGCCCCAAACUGGAAACAGCUCAGAUGUCCUUCAACUGGAGCAUGAAUUACAAAUGGGUUCAUCUAAGCAGAAUUCUGCUCUUUAAUAAAAAGAACUGGAUUCUUGAUAUAUAAAACAACACAAACGCCUCUCAAAAGCGUCAUACUGAGUGAAAGAAUCCAGUUGGAAAAAGCUAGAUGAUUUGUAUUUAUAUGGAAUUUAAGAAAAAGCAAAACUACAAUGGUGUGAAGAAGUUCAGCAGUUGGGCUGGGGAAAGUGGGAGGGAGUGACUAAAAGGGGCACAGGGGAAUUUUGUGAGGUGAUAUGAUUCUUCUGUAACAUGACUGUGGUGGUGGUUACGUGAAAAUAGACACUUCUCCUGUCUUAUUGAAUUGUGCUUAAAAUUAAAGAAUUUCAAUGUGUAUUAAUCGUACCUCAAUGAAGCUGACUUUUUAAAAAAAAAAUUAUGUAACUUGCAGCUGUCAUGUUUGUCUCUCAGUAAAACCUAAGACUCACGAAGCUUACUG